GAUCAUGGCUCAGGAUGAACGCUAGCUACAGGCUUAACACAUGCAAGUCGAGGGGCAGCAUUCCAGUUUGCAUGCAAACUGGAGAUGGCGACCGGCGCACGGGUGAGUAACACGUAUCCAACCUGCCGAUAACUCGGGGAUAGCCUUUCAAAAGAAAGAUUAAUACCCGAUGGCAUAAUAGAACCGCAUGGUUUGAUUAUUAAAGAAUUUCGGUUAUCGAUGGGGAUGCGUUCCAUUAGG
Molecule: ribosomal RNA, 240 nt
Filed under: uncultured bacterium
Lineage: Bacteria
Description: partial 16S ribosomal RNA
Rfam family: Bacterial small subunit ribosomal RNA
Source: RNAcentral